UAUAUACUCCCUCUGUUUUAAAAUACUUGACUUUCAUUUGUUCAAAAAGGAUGUAUCUAUAUACUAAAACAUGUAUAGAUACAUUUAUAUUUUGACAAAGCAAGUAUUGUAAAACGGAGGGAGUAUAUA
Molecule: non-coding RNA, 129 nt
Organism: Triticum aestivum (bread wheat)
Lineage: Eukaryota; Viridiplantae; Streptophyta; Magnoliopsida; Poales; Poaceae
Source: Rfam